UGAGUGGCCUCCCCAACGUAUUAUUAAUUAUUAUGGACCGGCUACUUGGGCAGAAGAUGGUACUAUGGAUAUAGAACCCCAAUAUAUAUGCUCAACCGUAUUAUAAGACUACAGGCGGUGGUUGAGAUUAUCACCAAUGAGACAGCACAAGCGCUCAAUCUCCUAGCUAAACAUAAUACUCGAAUUAGAUCAGCCAUCUAUCAAAAUAGAUUCGCUCUGGACUACUUAUUAGCAGUAGAGGGAGGUGUAUGCAGGAAGUUUAAUCUAAGUAACUGUUGUCUGCACAUAGACGAUGAAGGGCAGGCAGUGGCUGAACUUACCAGUCACAUGGUUAAACUUGCGCAUGUACCUACUCAGGUCUGGAGUGGGUAUAACCCAAUUAGUUGGUUUGGAAGUUGGUAUGAGCAGCUUGAAGGGAUUAAGGCAUUAGUAGGAGGAGUAGUAUUUAUUAUAUUUCUAUGUCUCUUUCUGCCCUGCUUAAUUCCAUUAGUGGUUAGGUCCAUACAAAGUGUUAUAGACAGCACUAUUGAGAGGAAGACAGCUGCCCAUGUAAUGGCUGUCUAUAGAUAUGAACCUUUAGCCCAAAGAGAGCAUAUUCAGGAUGGGGAAUGCUGAAAGAAUAUGCUAAAGAUGCUUACGAGGUCUGUUCUGGUUCAUGGCUACUUGAGAGGUGUUUGCAAAUUAUGAUUGAUGAUGCAUCUGGAAUUAUUUUAUAUCAGAAGCAUCAAAGGGGGGAAUGUGGUGGAAUUCCAGUAAAAUAGAAGUUUAGUAGGCCAAGAUUGCCACGUGGCAUAUGUAGGUACAUGUGUUUGUAGUAUCAGUUAGUUAGUUACACGUAGCUAAGAUACUGUCAUCAAUGUACUGAGCAUGUGCAGGAAUGUGGGAACUGAAAUCACACUCCUUUCUCCUUUGUUUCGGAUGAGCCAUGUGGUCAGACCGGAUGAGCAAGUCCGGACUCUGUUUAUUGAUUGGUUAAGGGUAUGUGUGGUGUAGCUAUAUAUGGGAG
Non-coding RNA from Pelobates cultripes (western spadefoot toad), 1006 nucleotides. The record is from the annotation of a GenBank genome assembly. Lineage: Eukaryota; Metazoa; Chordata; Amphibia; Anura; Pelobatidae.